Molecule: long non-coding RNA, 1475 nt
Filed under: Taeniopygia guttata (zebra finch)
Lineage: Eukaryota; Metazoa; Chordata; Aves; Passeriformes; Estrildidae
Description: lncRNA (ENSTGUG00000029192.1)
Source: RNAcentral
UUUUUUUUCUUUUUAAUAGUAAACCUCUUUACAACAAAUAUAGUGAAAGAGUUUCCAAACAAAACUCAUAAGAAUUUCUCAUGGUAAUUAUUAUUAUUAUCAUUUUUUUUAUAUAUUUUUUUUUGUCUUAUUGUGGAAUAUACAAUAACGCAUCACCAUACAGCACAAAAAAAGGAAUAUUGAAAAAACGAAAUAGACGUCUCAACCACGUGCUGCAGUCCCUGGGAAGGAGCCACUGAUUGUCAAGGGAGCGAAGUAGGGAGGGAACGGGGACAGGGAGUGGGGGUGACAUCCCCAGGGCGCGGGAGGUUCUCGGUCAGGCCAGAGCCCGAGGGUUGCAAACACUUCAGAGAAAGAUGGAAUUAGGCAAAAAUCCCGGUUAAAAUAUUACAAACUCCACAUAAAGCCUCCCUCCCCUCGCACUGCUGCUGCUGGGCACUGAGAGCUGGGAUGGGAGGGAGCCCUGGUCCCUGUGCUCCGGCUGGGGACGGGGGCAGCUGCCCCACAACUGCCCCAAAACUGCCCCAAAACUGCCCCACAGCUGCCCCACAGCUGCCCCACGGCUGCCCCACGGCUGCCCCGAGCUGCCAGCCCUGGCCACCAAAUCCCUUGACUCGCACACACACACACACCCACACACACGGGUGGAGGAGCAUCAGGAAAAAAAAAAAAGAGGUUAAAAAUAUAUAUAUAUAUAUAUAUAUAUAUUAUAGAUACAGUUUCUCUUUUUUUUUGUUGUUUUUCCCUUUUAAAUUGCUUCUCAAAACAAUAAAUAAAACUCCUCGGGGGAAGUGCACGUCCUGGUUUGUUUCUACCUGUGCAGCAGCCUGGGGGGAGGAUGCAGAGCUGCCUGUGGGGCUGAGCGGGGACAUCCAAGGAACCAUCACACAGAGAAGCUGAGGGGAAAGGGGCAUUUAUGAUUUUUUUUUUUUUUCCUUUUAGUGCAUCAUUUCAAGGGUUUAUUCUAUUUUACAAAAGUUUUUGCAGACACCCCAGGUUUGCUAACACCUACCUGCAUAACUGAGCUACGGGGAGCAAAGGGGAUGGGGGAGAAUGGAGGAGGAGGGAGCAGCAGCUGGGCCACCACGAUCCCCACUUCUCCAGCAUCAGAUUUGCCUGCAAAUGCUUGGAAAGAGCCGUGGGGAGGAGGGGAGUCAUGGCCCAAGGUGGGGCUGCUUCACCUCCCAGCCUCGGAGAUGCCAGGAGCCCAUGGGGACAUCCCAGCAUGGUCCCAGGAGAGGGUUUGGGGAUGCUCCUGCGGCUCUGUGGUGGGUUCCUGCCUGGAGAAGGAGGAGCUGGGCCAGCACCAGCAUGAAAAUCUCACUCUGAACACCCAUUUGAAGUGAAGAAAAUCCCUCUCUGCAUCUCACCCUCAUGGCCUGGGGUGGGUGCGGGGGGCUGGGGGAGACACAGCCGCCCAUCCCCACCCAGGGACAGUCGGGCUGGGGGUAUUGUCAACCCCUCAUUCCCCAAAA